UGGGGAAUAUUGCACAAUGGGCGAAAGCCUGAUGCAGCGACGCUGCGUGAGGGAUGACGGCCUUCGGGUUGUAAACCUCUUUCAGUAGGGACGAAGCGCAAGUGACGGUACCUGCAGAAGAAGCACCGGCUAACUACGUGCCAGCAGCCGCGGUAAUACGUAGGGUGCGAGCGUUGUCCGGAAUUACUGGGCGUAAAGAGCUCGUAGGCGGUUUGUCACGUCGUCUGUGAAAUCCUAGGGCUUAACCCUGGACGUGCAGGCGAUACGGGCUGACUUGAGUACUACAGGGGAGACUGGAAUUUCUGGUGUAGCGGUGGAAUGCACAGAUAUCAGGAAGAACACCGAUGGCGAAGGCAGGUCUCUGGGUAGUAACUGACGCUGAGGAGCGAAAGCAUGGGUAGCGAACAGG
Molecule: ribosomal RNA, 409 nt
Filed under: bacterium
Lineage: Bacteria
Description: partial 16S ribosomal RNA
Rfam family: Bacterial small subunit ribosomal RNA
Source: RNAcentral